Molecule: long non-coding RNA, 1026 nt
Filed under: Anas zonorhyncha (Eastern spot-billed duck)
Lineage: Eukaryota; Metazoa; Chordata; Aves; Anseriformes; Anatidae
Description: lncRNA (ENSAZOG00000007795.1)
Source: RNAcentral
UGGGAUGUCCCCUUGCUUUUCCCUUUGUUCUGCAUGGAGCAAGAGCUAUGUGGAGUUUGGGGCUCUUUCAACAACAACAAAAUAACCUAAAAUUGUGAAUUAGUUUACAGAUUAACUUUGUGCUCUGUGCAAGGGCUGUACGGGAAAGGACUUCCCUAAGUAUCAGGAGGUGGGUAUAUUGGUGUUUCAGAGGUAAAGAAACAACCCAGUAGCCCUCCUCUCCCCAGGCAAAAGGUAUAACAUGAAACUCGGAGAUUUAACAAAAUCUUCUCUCCCACCCAUCACUGAUGGAGCCUCAGAAGUAACUGUUAAUAGCUGGAACAGUGCCUCAGCCAGCCCCUUUGGUGGCUCCAAGGGCAGGCUUUCCCUUGGUCUAGCCUGCCUUCUCUUACCUCUGCCAGCACGCCUGAUUUUAAAGUAAUCUUACAAGCUGAGGAGCUCAUGCGCGUGUCUGAACCUGGAGGAGGAAUUGCUUCAUCACUGGAGGGGAAGGAAAAGGCAUCAAGGUGCAAGGGCCGUCCCACCAACACAAGACUCCCUCCUUUGGCAGUCUCUCACACCAAACCUGCAGCCCUUCACCCACAGAGUUUGCAUAAGAGAGAAGCAAGAAUAAGAUGCUCAGCUCCCCUGUGCCCCAGGCUGGUGCCUAUCAGUGACGGUAAGGAGUCUGACUGUUCCCCCCACACGUCAGCUGGGUGCGAUGCAACCACACCUAGGCUAGCUCUCAAUGAGCUGUCUUUGCUUCUCCAGCACUGAAAAACCACAGUGGUGCCCGCGUGGUCCAACCGCUCUGAGUGUUUGCUGAGUUUCUCAGGGCUCUUUGCAUCCCACGCCGCAUUUGGUGGAGGCUAGCUAGCGAGCUAGGUAAUUUAGAGCAGGUUAUAUAUGUGUGGCUGACCCAUGAAAAGGUUUGCUUUCUCCAUGGUAUGCAAAAUCUGUGGGGCUGGCAUUAUAAUUCCGUACAAUGCCCCAUCAGCGUGGGUUUCUGGCCAGGGGGAGGCUUGUUGCUGCUGCUGUUACACAAGA